CCUACGGGUGGCAGCAGUCGAGAAUCAUUCACAAUGGGGGAAACCCUGAUGGUGCGACGCCGCGUGGGGGAAUGAAGGUCUUCGGAUUGUAAACCCCUGUCAUGUGGGAGCAAAUUCAAACGAUAGUACCACAACAGGAAGAGCCGGCUAACUCUGUACCAGCAGCCGCGGUAAUACGGAGGUCUCAAGCGUUGUUCGGAAUCACUGGGCGUAAAGCGUGUGUAGGCUGUUUCGUAAGUCGUGUGUGAACGUCGCGGGCUCAACCCGCGGACGGCACAUGAUACUGAGAGACUAGAGUAAAGGAGGGGGGAGCGGAAUUCUCGGUGUAGCAGUGAAAUGCGUAGAUAUCGAGAGGAACACUAGUGGCGAAGGCGGGUUCCUGGACAUUAACUGACGCUGAGGCACGAAGGCCAGGGGAGCGAAAGGGAUUAGAUACCCGGGUAGUC
Molecule: ribosomal RNA, 446 nt
Filed under: uncultured bacterium
Lineage: Bacteria
Description: partial 16S ribosomal RNA
Rfam family: Bacterial small subunit ribosomal RNA
Source: RNAcentral